AUCAUUUUUGGCCUUUUGGCUAAGAUCAAGUGUGGUAUCUGUUGUCAGGUUACUCUAUCCUCUGUCAGGACAAUAUAUUAAAUGGAUUUUGUGGCUGGGAUAUGGCACAGGAGCUUGCACCAUCCACUUCAUGCAUUGAUUUGGUAUUGCAAUACCUCCAGAAAUGGAGGGGGGAAA
This 177-nucleotide small nuclear RNA is filed under the name Jaculus jaculus (lesser Egyptian jerboa). RNAcentral's name for it is "U2 spliceosomal RNA (ENSJJAG00000004916.1)". It matches the Rfam family "U2 spliceosomal RNA". From Rfam's summary of the family: U2 is a small nuclear RNA (snRNA) component of the spliceosome (involved in pre-mRNA splicing). Complementary binding between U2 snRNA (in an area lying towards the 5' end but 3' to hairpin I) and the branchpoint sequence (BPS) of the intron results the bulging out of an unpaired adenosine, on the BPS, which initiates a nucleophilic attack at the intronic 5' splice site, thus starting the first of two transesterification reactions that mediate splicing. The record is from Rfam by way of RNAcentral. Lineage: Eukaryota; Metazoa; Chordata; Mammalia; Rodentia; Dipodidae.